RNAcentral lists this long non-coding RNA (2509 nucleotides) under Marmota monax (woodchuck). The record is from RNAcentral. Lineage: Eukaryota; Metazoa; Chordata; Mammalia; Rodentia; Sciuridae.
GGCGAUUGGCGCGGGGUCCGGCCGCCGCUGCAAGGUAGGCGCGGCCCGCGGGGCGCCCCGUCGCUGCGUCCCCGGGGCCCGGGACACCCGCGCGCGACCCCUGGGAGAGCGUUCCGCCCCGUGGGGUUUGGGGACGGGAUGCGAGUCCCACGAUCGUCCCGGGGAAGCCCAGGAGCCAAGUUCUACUCCAGCUAGCCUUGGAGGGGGCACGGGAAACGCACCAGCCCCGGUCCCUGUCCGGAGACCGCCCAGGACCGCGAGCUUCGCCCAGGACAGGUGCAGGACCUGGCGGCGACAAGCGCUCCCGGGGGCUGAGUGGGAGCUCCCGAGAGUGGCCAGGGGUGGUGGUGGCAGGUGUGGUUUCAAGGUUCAGGGCUUCGGCCAGGGCUGUGCCCGAAGGAAAGGGGUGCGUCCCGCGCCAGCCUGGAGGAGGACCGGUAGGGACAGAGACCCGGAGGGGGAUCCGGCGGGGAAGAUGGCUGGACCCGGCCGGUCACUGAGCGCGCGCCGCCUUCGGGGUCCCAGGCGGCCAGGCAGGGCGGGGGCGCCUCGCUCUCUUCCCGCGCCCGCGUUCUUUCCUACGAGGGAUGUGCGGCGGGGUUCGGCGGAGGAUCGGUGGGUGCUGCGUGGGUCGGAAGCUCGGGCUUCCCGGGGUUAGCGUGGAGGGAAUGGCUCGGAGCGCCGCGGGCCACGGCGGUUCGCGCCCGCGCUGGCUCCGGGCUGGAGCGAGGUGAGUGUCCCCGCCAGGGGGCGCACUGCCAGGCCACUCUCCCUCGGAAGGCGAGCGCCGGCGCUACCCGCGCUGAAAUGGGGACACGCGGAACCCCAGCCCCACUGCCCGCAGGCUGGGCUCCAGGACGCACGGGCACCCGCCCCAGUGGACCCGGGGAGGGUCCCGAGCCUGAGACUCGCCUGCCGCGGUUAUCACUGGACAGAUCGGCUGACAUGAGGUGAUUUUUCCUGGGGGUCUGCAAAGGGUGAGUGAAACAUUCACCCCCAGAAAAACAAAAACGAAAGAAACUUUCCGAGAGCAGGGAGCUGGCGUGGAGAGCGUGGCUUGGAACGUUCACUUUUUGAGGUUUCUUGAAGUUUCCAAAACCCAAACUGUGGAAUGCGUCCUUUCUGUACAAGUGGCACCUUUUGUUCCUCGGAUCUGGCCCCAUCUCUAGGUGUGGGCUGGGUGGGGUCUUGGGGUGGCGCCACUCUUAUCCAUUCUCUCCCUGGGAGCAGUCAACGCGGAGGAGCGGGGCGGGGGAGGGGCCCAGAGAGCCGCUGCCCCGGCCGAGGUGUUGGAUUUCUCAGGGGUCAAUUUCUCACCCCUUAGGUCUGGGGUCUCCAGGGCACGUUCAUCUGGUCAUUUCACAAGUACUGGUGAAACCCUGCCCGUCGUCCCUGUUACCUCCCUCAGGACUUCUGUGUGUUGAGUCCGUGUGGCUGUGCCUUGGGAAGUGAGCCAGCUGCGGGCAUCUGUGAAAAGUGUCAUCUUUGUCCAUGUGGGGCUGUUCGACACUGAAGGGACACUGACAUCGCUCUCUCAAGUUCCCACCCUCCUCCCUGCACCCCACGAGAAUACCCGGAGCAAAUCCCACACCUAGCCCAGGCCGCCCGGUGGCCAGAGGAAGUUUUCAACGGAUCCUUCCCCCAACAUGCACUCUUUGGGUACACCUGUCCCACCCAGUGUCCUGAGAGUCCCCCGAUCUGGAAGGUGAUGGACGUGGAGUCCGUUGUAGACUGGACUGUCGGUUUUUUUUGUUGGAUGCAACCAAAAUGUUCCAGGACAAAGUUGCCUCAAGACCCGUGCGACUUCUAUUUUGAAUGGAGGAGGGGGAGGAGGAGGAGGAGGAGGAAGAGGAGGAGAGAGGGAAAGGAUGGGGCAGUCCUUCUCUCUGGCUGCGUCUUUCCGGGGGUCCAAAAAAACAAAAGGAGUUUUCUGUCUGUUUUGUUUAGCUUGCUUCUUCUCUUUUACUUGUAGUGACUCUUGUUUUUCUGCGAGGGAAGCCAGCCUGGGAACAGCCCUGCCCUUGGGGCCUGUGGGUGAGCACGGGGGCCCCCUGAAGUCUGGCAGCUUCUGUGUCCGGCCUGUCCUCUCCGUCUCCCCACCCCCACACACCUGUCCCAGACCCUGAGGGAUGCUAGCCUCCCGUCCCUGUCUUGCUCAGACUCUCAGACAAGCGCCAGUGGCUCUGAUUCUGCAGAGUGUUCAGUGGUGGCUGCCCGCUGUCCAUGUCCCCCCCUGCUCCCAAAUCUGAACGGGCAGGAGAUCAAUGAAGGCUCCAGGCCCCUUUCUGGAAGUUAAUCUGGACCUGGGUGUCGGACGCCUUGGGCUGACUUCAGGAAGGACCCCUGCCUUCAAACGCUCCCCCAGGAGGAGCCCCCUGGGUUGGUGAAGGCAGUGUCAGUGGUCACCGCCGGUUGAAGGACAGGGUGCUAGGCAGGGGAAGGUGUGGAGGUGACAUGAGGCAAGGGAUGAUGAGGACCUAGGGGAGGGACCGAGGCAGGGAGAGACCAC